Ylistrum balloti is the source of this 589-nucleotide long non-coding RNA. RefSeq lists it as uncharacterized. The transcript has 2 exons. NCBI's taxonomy places the organism in Eukaryota, Metazoa, Mollusca, Bivalvia, Pectinida, Pectinidae. The record is from RefSeq and is a predicted model, not a curated record.
UUUGUGUUAUACAAGGAAUCGUAAAGCCGACAAUGUCAUUAACUUUCUAUGUUGCUUCUCGUGUGAUUCCUAUUUUAACCAUAGGAGGUGUUACGUGUUAUUUCAUGUCUAAGACUGAUGACAUGACAAUAGAGAGUCGUAAGCAGCAAGGGUAUGAGUUCAACCAUGUGACUGCUAACUAUAGGAGACAAUUUAUGGAAAAAGCACAAAAGAAAGACUCAGAAGAAACAUCAAGUUGACAAAGUAUCACAUCCAUUUGUCGUCAGCAUAGGAUUUGGUAUCAUGUUCCAGAUGCUUGUAAAACGUUUCUACUUCUUGAGGAUAGCAAAAGGACCUGAAAUGUGAUUCAUAUGCAUUUGGCAUCAUCCUGUCUGUAAAUUGUGGAAUAUGGGGGCCUUGGACUUCAUUGACUUCAAAAAUCAUCUCUACAAUGAUUCAGAUGACAAGAAAGGACAUGACCGCUUCAUGUCUCUUACUUUGUGUUACUUUAUUUACAUUGAAGAACAUUUAUGAUAUGUUUCCAUUUUGCCAAAAUGUAUUUAUACUGUUUUGUAAGAUGAAGUAAUUAAAGAGUUUAAUCGAAGAGUGA